AUCGAACGCUGGCGGCAGGCUUAACACAUGCAAGUCGAGCGAGCGGCGGACGGGUGAGUAAUGUCUGGGAAAUUGCCUGCUGGAGGGGGAUAACUACUGGAAACGGUAGCUAAUAACGCAUACCAUCAGAUGUGCACAGAUGGGAUUAGCUAGUAGGUGGGGUAAUGGCUCACCUAGGCGACGAUCCCUAGCUGGUCUGAGAGGAUGACCAGCCACACUGGAACAGAGGCACGGUCCAGACGCCUACGGUAGGCAGCGGGGGGGAAGAUUGCGCAAUGGGCGCAAGCCUGAUGCAGCCAUGCCGCGUGUGUGAAGAAGGCCUUCGGGUUGUAAAGCACUUUCAGCGAGGAGGCGUUACUCGCAGAAGAAGCACCGGCUAACUCCGUGCCAGCAGCCGCGGUAAUAC
This 406-nucleotide ribosomal RNA is filed under the name uncultured bacterium. RNAcentral describes it as "partial 16S ribosomal RNA". It matches the Rfam family "Bacterial small subunit ribosomal RNA", at positions 30 to 526 of the family's 1533-position model. The record is from RNAcentral.